GACGAACGCUGGUGGCGUGCUUAACACAUGCAAGUCGAACGAAGUGGCGAACGGGUGAGUAACGCGUAAUCAACCUGCCCUUCAGAGGGGGACAACAGAUGGAAACGACUGCUAAUACCGCAUACUGCAGGAGGGGAUUGCGUCUGCUCAGCUAGUUGGAGGGGUCACGGCCCACCAAGGCGAUGAUCACUUGGCGGUCGUGGAGGGUGAACGGGCACAUUUGGGACGAGGCAAGGCCCAGGCUCCUACGGGAGGCAGCAGUGGGGGAUCUUCCGCAAUGGACGGAAGGCUGACGGAGCAAAGCCGCGUGAGUGGUGACGGCCUUCGGGUUGUAAAGCUCUGUUAAUCGGGACGCAGUACCGGAAUAGAAAGCCACGGCUAACUACGUGCCAGCCGCCGCGGUAAUUC
RNAcentral lists this ribosomal RNA (408 nucleotides) under uncultured bacterium. RNAcentral's name for it is "partial 16S ribosomal RNA". It matches the Rfam family "Bacterial small subunit ribosomal RNA", at positions 28 to 526 of the family's 1533-position model. The record is from RNAcentral.